AAUAUUGGUUGGCAACCCGUACCAAGUGUGAUUUUAGUGGUAGAAUUUUCGAGGCAACCCGUACCAAGUGGGAUAUUUUUGCGUGUGGAAUAGUGAAAAUUUUAGGAUUGGCUACUUGUAAAUUUAUACAAUGUAAUUGGUAUUAUGAGCUAUGUUGGUGCUGUUGAGCCUUUUGGAUUGUCCUCUAAUUCGUAUUUAUACGAGUUUGGAGAACAAUGCAGGGAUGUGUACAUUUGGUAUAAACAGGUUACCUUAUCGAAUUCUCCUUAAAUAAUAAACUUCAUAAGGCAUAGGCACAACUCCUCACUAGCUAUUAUUCGGAGUACCUCAAAGAGGGGGUGAAUUUUUAAGAGAAAAAUUGGAAGAGAUUUGUUUAAAUGGGGAGGAGCGUAAUUUGGAUAACUUUAGGCUCAAAGCAGAGGAAAUUACCAGAAGAAGCCAAGAGUAUAAUAAGACGCAAAAGGACAGUAAACGGGUAACGAAAGUUUACGGAAAGGAAGAGAAUGUAGCGUGAAUUUUAUCAGUGCUCCCGUUAGUUGCUUGUACAAAAAUAAUAAAAUAAACUAAAAAGUACUACAGUUUCGGGCAAGUGAUCACCGCGAUUGGCUCAAAUAAAUUCCAGCCGAGAGGCCCAGUUUUCUACCACUUUUUUCCGCAAAAUCUUCAAUAAAGUGGAUAGGAACAGUUCCAAUUAUUGCGCGCGAUGGCGGAUGGACUCUUUCAUGUCUUCUUCGUACGUACAGCGUUUUUGAGGAUGCGUCUUAUCCACUUAAGUAAACGUGGUGGAUUCAUGGUUUCUCAAAUUACCAACUCUUCUAGGCGAUUAUGCCGCGCGUACCGAACAAUUAAUUUGAUCAACUCCAAAUUUGCAUGGAAGCGAUUGUCGAUAUGAAGUUGGUUAUAAAUAAGUGGAAUCGCCACAUUGAAGAGGAAACAUCACUAACUGCAAGAAUUCCAUUGUCAAGUUUGGAUCAAAUAGAACGAUUAAAUGCGGAAAUAAAUAACGACAAUUGCGAAUGUUAUGAAAUUUAUUGUCAGAUUUUAACUUUUUAAUAAUUAUCUUUCUUUUCAGGUAAAGACUAUGAAAUCACUUUUUAAACCGGAAGGGGUCAUUAAAAACCCUAAAGAUGAACUAACGCACGCUGUUCUCUAAGAAUACAAUAUUGAAGCUUAAGUGGUUUAGGAGAGAUGCACAUUAAACUUAGUAGGGACCACGCCCAUCUUUUAAAAAACUUUAAACUGCAGAUGCCUCUCCCUAAUGUGGUCCUGUGUGUCAAAUAACAGUAUUGUAUCUUAUUGUGGAGCUUAGUUAUGGCAAUUUAUUUCUUUUGAUUAAUGGCGUUUUGUGGGAGUGGCGGUGGUUCGAUUACACCCAUCUGCAAUACCAACUGUCUUACG
This is a non-coding RNA of Bactrocera oleae (olive fruit fly), 1398 nucleotides long. Lineage: Eukaryota; Metazoa; Arthropoda; Insecta; Diptera; Tephritidae. The record is from RefSeq and is a predicted model, not a curated record.